Molecule: non-coding RNA, 54 nt
Filed under: Pseudomonas floridensis
Lineage: Bacteria; Pseudomonadati; Pseudomonadota; Gammaproteobacteria; Pseudomonadales; Pseudomonadaceae
Source: RNAcentral
CUAGGCUGCACCGGUCGCUGCACAAUCAGCGAUCAGGUUUGGUAGACCUGAGUG